UAGACCGCCUGGGGAGUACGGCCGCAAGGUUAAAACUCAAAUGAAUUGACGGGGGCCCGCACAAGCGGUGGAGCAUGUGGUUUAAUUCGAUGCAACGCGAAGAACCUUACCUGGUCUUGACAUCCACGGAAGAAUUCAGAGAUGGAUUGGUGCCUUCGGGAACUGUGAGACAGGUGCUGCAUGGCUGUCGUCAGCUCGUGUUGUGAAAUGUUGGGUUAAGUCCCGCAACGAGCGCAACCCUUAUCCUUUGUUGCCAGCGGUCCGGCCGGGAACUCAAAGGAGACUGCCAGUGAUAAACUGGAGGAAGGUGGGGAUGACGUCAAGUCAUCAUGGCCCUUACGACCAGGGCUACACACGUGCUACAAUGGCGCAUACAAAGAGAAGCGACCUCGCGAGAGCAAGCGGACCUCAUAAAGUGCGUCGUAGUCCGGAUUGGAGUCUGCAACUCGACUCCAUGAAGUCGGAAUCGCUAGUAAUCGUGGAUCAGAAUGCCACGGUGAAUACGUUCCCGGGCCUUGUACACACCGCCCGUCACACCAUGGGAGUGGGUUGCAAAAGAAGUAGGUAGCUUAACCUUCGGGAGGGCGCUUACCACUUUGUGAUUCAUGACUGGGGUGAAGUCGUAACAAGGUAACCGUAGGGGAACCUGCGGUUGGAUCACCUCCUUACCUGAAAGAAGC
Molecule: ribosomal RNA, 680 nt
Filed under: Salmonella enterica subsp. enterica serovar Chester
Lineage: Bacteria; Pseudomonadati; Pseudomonadota; Gammaproteobacteria; Enterobacterales; Enterobacteriaceae
Description: bacterial SSU rRNA
Rfam family: Bacterial small subunit ribosomal RNA
Source: RNAcentral